Molecule: long non-coding RNA, 404 nt
Organism: Cyprinus carpio carpio
Lineage: Eukaryota; Metazoa; Chordata; Actinopteri; Cypriniformes; Cyprinidae
Source: Ensembl
AUCUAGUCUUGUGCAAACUUCAUAUAGCUAAAACUGUAAAUUCUAAUCCUUGUUACAAAUAUGAUAGAACCAUCACAUUUACCACAAAAGAAUGCUUUCAUUUUAGAUACGGUUGCUCCUUUACGCUUAAGGAAGAUUAAGGAAAACAGUCUGACACCAUGGUAUAAUGAGCACACCCGCACGCUAAAGAGAGCAGCGGAAAAUGGAGUGCAGCUGGAGGAAAACAAAACUAGAGGUCACUUAUGGGGAGGGGUGUGACGACCUCUGCUGUUGGUCUUGGGUAUUGCUGCUUGGUACCUGUUUCCACAAAUUAGCAGUCUAUUGGAUACACCUGUGACCAGUGCUUCAGGCGCUCCUUUAAAAAGAGAUCUCCAGUUGAGCCAAGGAGGAACUUUGGGGGAUUU